GCAGCGGUAUCGAAGUGGUCAUAACGGGGCUGACUCGAAAUCAGUUUGCAGGCAACUGCACGUGGGUUCGAAUCCCACCCGCUGCG
This 86-nucleotide transfer RNA is filed under the name Firmicutes bacterium ASF500. It matches the Rfam family "tRNA". Rfam says of the family: Transfer RNA (tRNA) molecules are approximately 80 nucleotides in length. Lineage: Bacteria; Bacillati; Bacillota. RNAcentral also lists the same sequence under 1 other name. The record is from Rfam by way of RNAcentral.